Molecule: ribosomal RNA, 497 nt
Filed under: uncultured bacterium
Lineage: Bacteria
Description: bacterial SSU rRNA
Rfam family: Bacterial small subunit ribosomal RNA
Source: RNAcentral
AGAGUUUGAUUCUGGCUCAGGACGAAUGCUGGCGGCAUGCCUAACACAUGCAAGUCGAACGAAGCACAUUGGGUUACUCGAUGUGACUUAGUGGCGAACGGGUGAGUAAUGUAUGAGCAAUCUGCCCUAAACAACGGGACAACACUUGGAAACGGGUGCUAAUACCGUAUAAGACCACACUGCCGCAUGACAGAGUGGUAAAAGCUACGGCGGUUUAGGAUGAGCUCAUAUCCCAUUAGCUAGUUGGUGAGAUAACAGCCCACCAAGGCUACGAUGGGUAGCCGACUUGAGAGAGUGAUCGGCCACAUUGGAACUGAAACACGGUCCAGACUCCUACGGGAGGCAGCAGUGGGGAAUAUUGGGCAAUGGGCGAAAGCCUGACCCAGCAAUGCCGCGUGAGCGAUGAAGGUAUUUUUAUUGUAAAGCUCUUUUCUUGGGGACGAAGUUCUGACUGUACCCAAGGAAUAAGCCCCGGCUAACUACGUGCCAGCCGCCGC